RNAcentral lists this transfer RNA (73 nucleotides) under Xenocatantops brachycerus. Its description in RNAcentral is "tRNA-Arg". The record is from RNAcentral. Lineage: Eukaryota; Metazoa; Arthropoda; Insecta; Orthoptera; Acrididae.
GAAUAAGAAGCGAACAUAUUGCAGUCAGUUUCGACCUGAAAGUUUGGUAAUUAUACCCUUAUUCUAAUAAUUA